GCGGGACACGUGGUAUCCUGUCUGAAUAUGGGGGGACCAUCCUCCAAGGCUAAAUACUCCUGACUGACCGAUAGUGAACCAGUACCGUGAGGGAAAGGCGAAAAGAACCCCGGCGAGGGGAGUGAAAAAGAACCUGAAACCGUGUACGUACAAGCAGUGGGAGCCUCUUAAUGGGGUGACUGCGUACCUUUUGUAUAAUGGGUCAGCGACUUAUAUUCUGUAGCAAGGUUAACCGAAUAGGGGAGCCGAAGGGAAACCGAGUCUUAACUGGGCGUUAAGUUGCAGGGUAUAGACCCGAAACCCGGUGAUCUAGCCAUGGGCAGGUUGAAGGUUGGGUAACACUAACUGGAGGACCGAACCGACUAAUGUUGAAAAAUUAGCGGAUGACUUGUGGCUGGGGGUGAAAGGCCAAUCAAACCGGGAGAUAGCUGGUUCUC
RNAcentral lists this ribosomal RNA (437 nucleotides) under Escherichia coli. Its description in RNAcentral is "partial 23S ribosomal RNA". It matches the Rfam family "Bacterial large subunit ribosomal RNA", at positions 417 to 857 of the family's 2925-position model. Lineage: Bacteria; Pseudomonadati; Pseudomonadota; Gammaproteobacteria; Enterobacterales; Enterobacteriaceae. The record is from RNAcentral.